AAGAACAAGGCGAGCCUGCGGUCAAACGCUGCUUCCGUGAUGAACUCUUGACAAAACCCCGCUAGACUCCCUGGCAUCUUCGGGAACACUAGUCCCCGGCUGUCACCGCUCCGCGGUCUGUGAGGACGGUCCCACGGGGCAGCGUUUCAGCUGCCCUCCUUGCUGUCAGCCUUCCUCACGGCCCCGCCACUGCGUCCCUGGUGGCUUCGCUGCCUUGGGGAGGGACUUCAGGUAGUCGAGGGGCAGAUCGUUCUUAGGACCGCUCUGACCAUCCGGCGACUUUGAAACCUUUAAAACCCUUUGUGAACAUUCUGGUUUGCUGCACUAGAGCGGACUGUUGAACGAUCUGAUGUUCUGGACAGGGUUGGCCUACCUUCUCAGAGAAACUGUGCUAGUAAUCCUCUCACAGACGUGCGUGAGGCAGACGGCAGUCAGAAGGAUUUAGGGGACGAUAUUCUGUCUCCAAAUGCCAUGGCUUCUAUUUCCUCCACCUCCUUUCUCAGUGACCCUAGCACGAUGCCGUCUAAUACGUCCACGCUUUGCUUCUUCAGAGAUCGCCGUGGCAGCCGCUUGGGCCUGGAACUAUCUAGCAGCGGAUGUGGACGGGUCCCCUCAGCUCUUUGACCGAGGAACUUGCACAUGUGUGGUCUGCUCGCACAUGGGACAGGAUCACCAUCCCCGCACGGCAAACCCUGUGGCCUAAAUGUGUCUGGGCAUCCAACCACUCAUGGGCACUGGACUGCGGCGUGUAAA
This 753-nucleotide long non-coding RNA is filed under the name Lynx canadensis (Canada lynx). RNAcentral describes it as "lncRNA (ENSLCNG00005020135.1)". Lineage: Eukaryota; Metazoa; Chordata; Mammalia; Carnivora; Felidae. The record is from RNAcentral.